Molecule: ribosomal RNA, 253 nt
Filed under: uncultured bacterium
Lineage: Bacteria
Description: partial 16S ribosomal RNA
Rfam family: Bacterial small subunit ribosomal RNA
Source: RNAcentral
UACGUAUGGUGCAAGCGUUAUCCGGAUUUACUGGGUGUAAAGGGAGCGUAGGCGGCGCGUUAAGUCUGAUGUGAAAACCCGAGGCUUAACCGGAGUAGUGCAUUGGAAACUGGGAGACUUGAGUGCAGAAGAGGAGAGUGGAACUCCAUGUGUAGCGGUGAAAUGCGUAGAUAUAUGGAAGAACACCAGUGGCGAAAGCGGCUCUCUGGUCUGUAACUGACGCUGAGGUUCGAAAGCGUGGGUAGCAGACAGG